UUGGGAAUAGUUAAAUAGGUAUAACAAUAGGCUUUGACCUUAUUAUUCUUAGUUCGAAUCUAAGUUCCCAAG
RNAcentral lists this transfer RNA (72 nucleotides) under Caudoviricetes sp. Its description in RNAcentral is "tRNA-Gln". It matches the Rfam family "tRNA". Rfam says of the family: Transfer RNA (tRNA) molecules are approximately 80 nucleotides in length. Their secondary structure includes four short double-helical elements and three loops (D, anti-codon, and T loops). Further hydrogen bonds mediate the characteristic L-shaped molecular structure. tRNAs have two regions of fundamental functional importance: the anti-codon, which is responsible for specific mRNA codon recognition, and the 3' end, to which the tRNAs corresponding amino acid is attached (by aminoacyl-tRNA synthetases). tRNAs cope with the degeneracy of the genetic code in two manners: having more than one tRNA (with a specific anti-codon) for a particular amino acid; and 'wobble' base-pairing, i.e. permitting non-standard base-pairing at the 3rd anti-codon position. Lineage: Duplodnaviria; Heunggongvirae; Uroviricota; Caudoviricetes. The record is from RNAcentral.